AACGAACGCUGGCGGCACGCCUAACACAUGCAAGUCGAGCGCACCUUCGGGUGAGCGGCGGACGGGUUAGUAACGCGUGGGAACAUACCCAACUCUACGGAAUAGCCUCGGGAAACUGAGAGUAAUACCGUAUACGCCCUUCGGGGGAAAGAUUUAUCGGAGAUGGAUUGGCCCGCGUUAGAUUAGAUAGUUGGUGGGGUAAUGGCCUACCAAGUCUACGAUCUAUAGCUGGUUUGAGAGGAUGAUCAGCAACACUGGGACUGAGACACGGCCCAGACUCCUACGGGAGGCAGCAGUGGGGAAUCUUAGACAAUGGGCGCAAGCCUGAUCUAGCGAUGCCGCGUGAGUGACGAAGGUCUUAGGAUCGUAAAGCUCUUUCGCCAGGGAUGAUAAUGACAGUACCUGGUAAAGAAACCCCGGCUAACUCCG
Molecule: ribosomal RNA, 429 nt
Filed under: uncultured Paracoccaceae bacterium
Lineage: Bacteria; Pseudomonadati; Pseudomonadota; Alphaproteobacteria; Rhodobacterales; Paracoccaceae
Description: bacterial SSU rRNA
Rfam family: Bacterial small subunit ribosomal RNA
Source: RNAcentral